This 812-nucleotide long non-coding RNA is filed under the name Gossypium raimondii (Peruvian cotton). RNAcentral describes it as "long non-coding RNA (GRAI_LNC009099)". The record is from RNAcentral. Lineage: Eukaryota; Viridiplantae; Streptophyta; Magnoliopsida; Malvales; Malvaceae.
AAAAAAAGAGUAUUUGUUUUCUUCCAAAUUUGUGUGAGGCAAAUUUUUGAGAGUAGAUUGAUUCUUCUCUUGCUAUUUAGUUUGGAGUUUGUUACUUUCGAGGGUAUUUCGGAGUUACAAGUAUUCAAAUUUCUUUCCCGUUCAUCGGUGUUUCUAGAGGUUCUUCUUCUAGGGGUUUCGUAGGCAGUCGCUCAAUCAUUAGCGUUUUGGUUACAAGUUAACCAAGGGUUCCAUAGGGCAAAUCUAUCCUUAUUAUUAUUAUUAUUAUUUAACUAAUUUUAUUUAUUCUCGUUUUAUUUCUAAUUUGUGUUUCUCUUGUGUUUAGAUCCGGGUUUCCGCAUCAUAGCCCGUAAUUAUUAUAGAGACGACUAACUAUAUAUGUAAACGUAAAACUAUACUAAUUCUUGUAUUUUGAUUUUCUUUAUUGAUUCUUUUAAUAAUAUUGUAAUUAUUUCAAUUCACAUAUUUGAAUAAAGACUAAGAAAUAAUUGAUAAAUAGUGAAAAAUGAGAGGUACGAUUGAAGUAACAAGGUAGAAGACUUAUUAUGAUAGUUUGGGUGAAUCCAAAUACACAAAUGAAAAUGAUAAUUAAUUAGGCUUCAAAAUCAAUGGGGGAAACUUCCCAAACCCUUUCCUAUGGAACUAACAUAUUGUAGUAUGAUGAAGUGUGAACUUAAUAAAAUCAUCAUAUAGUUGAGAUUAGACAGCUAGCCUUGCCUCAUACGUUUAACAUUCUUUUUGUCCUUUGAUUUUUCAAAAAGGGAAAUUAUUUGGUGUACUGUAUAUAGAAUUUUUAGAUUUUAUAAGUGUCU